This 72-nucleotide transfer RNA is filed under the name Bos taurus (domestic cattle). It matches the Rfam family "tRNA". From Rfam's summary of the family: Transfer RNA (tRNA) molecules are approximately 80 nucleotides in length. Their secondary structure includes four short double-helical elements and three loops (D, anti-codon, and T loops). RNAcentral also lists the same sequence under 1 other name. Lineage: Eukaryota; Metazoa; Chordata; Mammalia; Artiodactyla; Bovidae. The record is from Rfam by way of RNAcentral.
UCCUUGGUGGUCCAGUGGCUAAGACUCAGCACUCCCAAUGCAGGGGCCCAGGGUCAAUCCCUAGUCAGGGAA